Molecule: unclassified non-coding RNA, 303 nt
Filed under: plant metagenome
Description: partial contains 5.8S ribosomal RNA, internal transcribed spacer 2, and large subunit ribosomal RNA
Rfam family: 5.8S ribosomal RNA (bases 1-105)
Source: RNAcentral
GAAAUGCGAUAAGUAAUGCGAAUUGCAGAAUUCAGUGAAUCAUCGAAUCUUUGAACGCACAUUGCGCCCGCCAGUAUUCUGGCGGGCAUGCCUGUUCGAGCGUCAUUUCAACCAUCAAGCCCCGCGCUUGUGUUGGGGACCUGCGGCUGCCGCAGGCCCUGAAAACCAGUGGCGGGCUCGCUGUCACACCGGGCGUAGUAGAUUUUAUCUCGCUCAGGGCGUGCUGCGGGUUCCGGCCGUUAAAAAGCCUUUUUUACCCAAGGUUGACCUCGGAUCAGGUAGGAAGACCCGCUGAACUUAAGC